RNAcentral lists this long non-coding RNA (901 nucleotides) under Rosa chinensis. Its description in RNAcentral is "sRNA RchiOBHm_Chr7g0180891". Lineage: Eukaryota; Viridiplantae; Streptophyta; Magnoliopsida; Rosales; Rosaceae. The record is from RNAcentral.
UUCAUAGCAUUCUUUGAUAUCACCCCAAAAUCCAAAACUCACAAUUGCUGCACCAAAAUUCCAUUACAAAACCCACCCACCCAUUUUUAGUAUCUGAUUUUCGAAUCAUUUAUAUAUAAUUUUAUCCAAAGAAUCCAAAUUUUUACACUGGAUUUCCGAUUCCUGGGUGCCCCCUGUCUUUGUCCACCCACCAAGAUCAAUCUCUAUCUCUCUCUCCAUUCCACCUAAAGAAUAUACUCUAGAAAACCCCAAAAUAAUGACAAAAUGCUCUCAUCAUUAUCAUCUUGGUUGUAUAUAUGAGUGGAUGGAGAGAAGUGAAAGUUGUCCUGUUUGUAGCAAGGUCAUGGCAUUCGAUGAAACGACUUAAUCUUGAUUGACGCGUCGUUGAUGAAUCCAGUAGUAUCGUCGAUGAAUCCAACAACAUUAGUGAUAGUUCUUGAAAUUUUACUUGCAUUUGGCAAAAGUCAUUUAAGUAUAGCAUAGCACCAGUAGAGAGAGAACUUUCUGUACAGCUUAUUUAUGUUACCAUUGUUCUUUCUCUGGGUGUUAUUUUGCUGGUUGGUCUUUCAGCCUUUUAUGUAGAUGGAAUUUACUCAUUGACGCCCUCAAACCCUGUUUAAGUUGAAGUAAGGUUUUGCUCAGCAAAGGCUUGUUUCAGACUUCAGAGUCUUGGCAAUGAUUUUAGUCAUUGUAAUCUGGGUUAUUUUUCAUGUAAGCUCUGCGGUUACACUCAUGUCCUCUACUUCGGUUUCCAAUGAAGUCAACUCUCAUCUAUAUAUGCAACAGAUUUAAUGUUCUACUCAUCUAUUGUACCAUAAAAGGGGUGGUUAUAUACUUAUAUGAACAAUGUUCUCUUUUACAAAAUUUCUGUGUAAUAUUCUUGUCAUAGUGAAUAUAUAUC